UUUCUGAGAUUCUCAUUGCACAGAAUGAACGGUAUUAACUCCAUUCAGCCAUGCUACCCUGCAAAGAAGACGCCAUGACUAUUGUCAAUAGCUUGAAUAUGAAGAAACAUAAAAAAGGAACCUCUAAAGCAUGAUUUUGUGGAAAAAGGAGUCCCAAAUGACUGCAGAAGGGAAAGACUUAGAGUGGACAUUUAUGGAUGAAGAGAUGGUCUAGUAAGAGGAUAGCAAAAAUACAGGAUGCACUGUCAUAAAAAGGACACAAGACACUUCAAGCAUGUUCCUGACCUGCUCAGCAAGGAUAUUGCACAGCAAGAGGUUAUUCAAACUCAGCCAAGGACCAGAAUUGUUCCACUGAAGGCUCAGAGGAGACAUUGUGAUAUAUACUGUGGUUGCACUGGAUUAUUUCCCUUGAACAGCAAAAAUGCACAUAACAUAAGAACAUAUAUUGUAGUGGUGGAAGUGUGCAGGCUGAAAGAGUAG
This 480-nucleotide long non-coding RNA is filed under the name Cyanistes caeruleus (blue tit). Its description in RNAcentral is "lncRNA (ENSCCEG00000014118.1)". The record is from RNAcentral. Lineage: Eukaryota; Metazoa; Chordata; Aves; Passeriformes; Paridae.